RNAcentral lists this long non-coding RNA (1312 nucleotides) under Vulpes vulpes (red fox). Its description in RNAcentral is "lncRNA (ENSVVUG00000024411.1)". Lineage: Eukaryota; Metazoa; Chordata; Mammalia; Carnivora; Canidae. The record is from RNAcentral.
CUGGCCUUCAGUGACCUUCAGAUCCUCAUGACCUCUCCUGGGAUCCAGCCACUCGACAGCAAGUGGAAGGUUUAAAGAUGAAACAAGGGGGUGAGAAGAAGGAGGCCAAGGUCACUUCUAAGCAGGUCCAGAUCUGAUGAUGACCUCUCCUCACCACACUAAUUUCCAGUAAGCCACUGGGGUCAGGACUAGUUCCCAGUAGUGGAUGAUGUGGAGAGCAGCCUGAGAGCCUGUCAGUUCUUUCUUCAGCACCAAGGCAAGUUAAUGUGCAACAUUUGGCCAUUGGUCACUGGAGGGCCAGCUGGAGAGUAGGCGGCCCCAGCACUGUCAUGGGAGGUCCCAAUAUCACUCCCCUUUUCCUCUCUGACCAAAAUAAUAAAUUAUUUCUUCUCUGCCUUAGACCUGGGAGUGGAGAACACUGCUGAGGUAGUGGACAGAUGACCCACAAAGUCCCCAAGACUCAAGUCUGAUGAAGAGAACAAUACAUCCCGGCAUUAUAGGCCUAUGGAAUCAGAAAUCACAGGAGCCCACACGAAGUCCUCACUUACCUCACUUACACAGUUUUUCAAGACCCAGUGUGCUGGCACAAAUCCGUAAACUGGAUCAGACAGAAGGCAAUUUCUGGAAGAGAGAAAUAAGCAUCUGGACAAUUUUUAUAAACACCCCCUUGGCACCAGGAUGGUGUGCUUGCUGCUGACGUGUUUUGGCCAGUACAUGACCACUCUAAAGAGAAGCAUGCUGGGUAUGAAGGCCAGGCUUGUCCUGAGUCCCACUGAGUAGGGGAGGAGGGGAAAAAAACUUUCUUGCUUCCUACAAAUCCUGAAGCAAGGGAAUGAUCAGUUUGGUUGACAGAGAAAGACUAGAGGGGGUACAAUGUUGCAGCGAUGGUCCAAGUUUCUCCUGGUGAGAGGAAACAGUCUCAGGUCCUCCCAGUUGGAGGAAGGGAUGCAGUCCUCCCUAGCACAGCAUCCUGUCUGUAGCUGGAAGCCCUGGUCCCUCUUAGACGAGGCUUUAAGAGCAAACGUGGCACCUACUUUUAGGAAGCCUGGGGUCUGAUGGGGAAAACUGUUGCUGUCCUCAGGGACCUCAGAAGUAGAAAUGUGGUUGGAAAUAUCAUCCUGGAUAGGAGCUUCUGGGGGGAAACCAGGAAUUGCUUGCUUUUCCAAAACAGUUUCCAGGCAGCUUCUUUCUGUAGGGGGACCUUUCCUGUCUCCAGCGAUCUGAGGGGAAGCAAGACAUUGAAUCCAUUCCUCAGCUAAGGCCUUUCUGUUCUUAUAGGCCAAAAUAAAAGGGACUCAACCUCCUGGUGUCA